AGUGGGGAAUUUUGGACAAUGGGCGCAAGCCUGAUCCAGCCACGCCGCGUGAGUGAAGAAGGCCUUCGGGUUGUAAAGCUCUUUCGGUGAAGACGAAACGGUUAGCGCUAAUAACGCUGACUAAUGACGGUACUCACAGAAGAAGCACCGGCUAACUACGUGCCAGCAGCCGCGGUAAUACGUAGGGUGCAGGCGUUAAUCGGAAUUACUGGGCGUAAAGCGUGCGCAGGCGGUUUGCUAAGACAGGUGUGAAAUCCCCGGGCUUAACCUGGGAAUUGCGCUUGUAACUGGCAGGCUAGAGUGUGGCAGAGGGGGGUGGAAUUCCACGUGUAGCAGUGAAAUGCGUAGAUAUGUGGAGGAACACCGAUGGCGAAGGCAGCCCCCUGGGUCAACACUGACGCUCAGGCACGAAAGCGUGGGGAGCAAACAGGAUUAGAUACCCUGGUAGUCCACGCCCUAAACUAUGUCAACUAGUUGUCGGGGAAGAAAUUCCUUGGUAACGAAGCUAACGCGUGAAGUUGACCGCCUGGGGAGUA
RNAcentral lists this ribosomal RNA (536 nucleotides) under uncultured bacterium. RNAcentral's name for it is "bacterial SSU rRNA". It matches the Rfam family "Bacterial small subunit ribosomal RNA", at positions 353 to 882 of the family's 1533-position model. The record is from RNAcentral.